AUUGAACGCUGGCGGCAGGCUUAACACAUGCAAGUCGAGCGGGGUGAUGGUGCUUGCACUAUCACUUAGCGGCGGACGGGUGAGUAAUGCUUAGGAAUCUGCCUAUUAGUGGGGGACAACAUUUCGAAAGGGAUGCUAAUACCGCAUACGUCCUACGGGAGAAAGCAGGGGAUCACUUUUGACCUUGCGCUAAUAGAUGAGCCUAAGUCGGAUUAGCUAGUUGGUGGGGUAAAGGCCUACAAAGGCGACGAUCUGUAUCGGGUCUGAGAGGAUGAUCCGCCACACUGGGACUGAGACACGGCCCAGACUCCUACGGGAGGCAGCAGUGGGGAAUAUUGGACGAUGGGGGGAACCCUGAUCCAGCCAUGCCGCGUGUGUGAAGAAGGCCUUAUGGUUGUAAAGCACUUUAAGCGAGGAGGAGGCUCUUUUGGUUAAUACCCAAGAUGAGUGGACGUUACUCGCAGAAUGAGCACCGGCUAACUCUGUGCCAGCCGCCGCAGUAA
This 503-nucleotide ribosomal RNA is filed under the name uncultured bacterium. RNAcentral's name for it is "partial 16S ribosomal RNA". It matches the Rfam family "Bacterial small subunit ribosomal RNA", at positions 30 to 523 of the family's 1533-position model. The record is from RNAcentral.